GGCGGCAGGCCUAACACAUGCAAGUCGAGCGGCAAGCACGGGUACUUGUACCUGGUGGCGAGCGGCGGACGGGUGAGUAAUGCCUAGGAAUCUGCCUGGUAGUGGGGGAUAACGCUCGGAAACGGACGCUAAUACCGCAUACGUCCUACGGGAGAAAGCAGGGGACCUUCGGGCCUUGCGCUAUCAGAUGAGCCUAGGUCGGAUUAGCUAGUUGGUGAGGUAAUGGCUCACCAAGGCGACGAUCCGUAACUGGUCUGAGAGGAUGAUCAGUCACACUGGAACUGAGACACGGUCCAGACUCCUACGGGAGGCAGCAGUGGGGAAUAUUGGACAAUGGGCGAAAGCCUGAUCCAGCCAUGCCGCGUGUGUGAAGAAGGUCUUCGGAUUGUAAAGCACUUUAAGUUGGGAGGAAGGGCAGUUACCUAAUACGUGAUUGUUUUGACGUUACCGACAGAAUAAGCACCGGCUAACUCUGUGCCAGCAGCCGCGGUAAUACAGAGGGUGCAAGCGUUAAUCGGAAUUACUGGGCGUAAAGCGCGCGUAGGUGGUUCGUUAAGUUGGAUGUGAAAGCCC
This 573-nucleotide ribosomal RNA is filed under the name Pseudomonas sp. B20. RNAcentral's name for it is "bacterial SSU rRNA". It matches the Rfam family "Bacterial small subunit ribosomal RNA", at positions 38 to 603 of the family's 1533-position model. Lineage: Bacteria; Pseudomonadati; Pseudomonadota; Gammaproteobacteria; Pseudomonadales; Pseudomonadaceae. The record is from RNAcentral.